This 31-nucleotide ribosomal RNA is filed under the name Inocybe sp. P34. RNAcentral's name for it is "partial 18S ribosomal RNA". RNAcentral also lists the same sequence under 1 other name. Lineage: Eukaryota; Fungi; Basidiomycota; Agaricomycetes; Agaricales; Inocybaceae. The record is from RNAcentral.
CCGUAGGUGAACCUGCGGAAGGAUCAUCAUU